Molecule: transfer RNA, 63 nt
Filed under: Calomicrus suturalis
Lineage: Eukaryota; Metazoa; Arthropoda; Insecta; Coleoptera; Chrysomelidae
Description: tRNA-His
Source: RNAcentral
AUUUAAUUAGUUUAAAAAAAAAUAUUGAUUUGUGGUAUCAAAGAUAUAAAUUUAUAUUAAAUU